CAGGCCUAAACAUGCAAGUCUAGGGGGUGUAGCAAUACAUCACCGGCGGACGGGUGCGAACGCGUGGGAAUAUGCCCUUCGGUACGGAAUAACUCCGGGAAACCGGUCUAAUACCGUAUACGCCCUACGGGGGAAAGAUUUAUCGCCGAAGGAUUACCCGCGUCGGAUUAGCUUGUUGGUGGGGUAAUGGCCCACCAAGGCGACGUCCGUAGCUGGUUUGAGAGGAUGAUCAGCCACACUGGGACUGAGACACGCCCAGACUCCUACGGGAGGCAGCAGUGGGGAAUAUUGGACAAUGGGGGCACCCUGAUCCAGCCAUGCCGCGUGAGUGAUGAAGGCCUUAGGGUUGUAAGCUCUUUCAGCGGGGAAGAUGAUGACGGUACCCGCAGAAGAAGCCCCGGUAACUCCGUGCCAGCAGCCGCGGUAAU
This 428-nucleotide ribosomal RNA is filed under the name uncultured bacterium. RNAcentral describes it as "bacterial SSU rRNA". It matches the Rfam family "Bacterial small subunit ribosomal RNA", at positions 43 to 524 of the family's 1533-position model. The record is from RNAcentral.